RNAcentral lists this ribosomal RNA (783 nucleotides) under uncultured bacterium. RNAcentral's name for it is "bacterial SSU rRNA". It matches the Rfam family "Bacterial small subunit ribosomal RNA", at positions 96 to 874 of the family's 1533-position model. The record is from RNAcentral.
CGGCGGACGGGUGAGUAAUGCUUAGGAAUCUGCCUAUUAGUGGGGGACAACAUUUCGAAAGGAAUGCUAAUACCGCAUACGUCCUACGGGAGAAAGCAGGGGAUCUUCGGACCUUGCGCUAAUAGAUGAGCCUAAGUCGGAUUAGCUAGUUGGUGGGGUAAAGGCCUACCAAGGCGACGAUCUGUAGCGGGUCUGAGAGGAUGAUCCGCCACACUGGGACUGAGACACGGCCCAGACUCCUACGGGAGGCAGCAGUGGGGAAUAUUGGACAAUGGGCGCAAGCCUGAUCCAGCCAUGCCGCGUGUGUGAAGAAGGCCUUAUGGUUGUAAAGCACUUUAAGUGAGGAGGAGGCUACUGAAGUUAAUACCUUCAGAUAGUGGACGUUACUCGCAGAAUAAGCACCGGCUAACUCUGUGCCAGCAGCCGCGGUAAUACAGAGGGUGCAAGCGUUAAUCGGAGUUACUGGGCGUAAAGCGCGCGUAGGCGGCUAAUUAAGUCAAAUGUGAAAUCCCCGAGCUUAACUUGGGAAUUGCAUUCGAUACUGGUUAGCUAGAGUGUGGGAGAGGAUGGUAGAAUUCCAGGCGUAGCGGUGAAAUGCGUAGAGAUCUGGAGGAAUACCGAUGGCGAAGGCAGCCAUCUGGCCUAACACUGACGCUGAGGUGCGAAGGCAUGGGGAGCAAACAGGAUUAGAUACCCUGGUAGUCCAUGCCGUAAACGAUGUCUACUAGCCGUUGGGGCCUUUGAGGCUUUAGUGGCGCAGCUAACGCGAUAAGUAGACCGCCU